This is a long non-coding RNA of Mytilus californianus (California mussel), 396 nucleotides long. RefSeq lists it as uncharacterized. NCBI's taxonomy places the organism in Eukaryota, Metazoa, Mollusca, Bivalvia, Mytilida, Mytilidae. The transcript is spliced from 3 exons. The record is from RefSeq and is a predicted model, not a curated record.
UUGUUGAUCAGUAACUAUUAACCGUCCAGAGCACUUGUUGAGCAGCAACUGUUAACCGUCAAGAGCACUUGUUGAGCAGUAUCUAUUAACCGUCCAGGUCUCUUGUUGAGCAGUAACUAUUAACCGCCCAGGUCACUCGUUGAUCAAUAAAUAUUAACCGUCCAGAGCACUUGUUGAGCAGUAACUAUUAACCGUCCAGAGCACUUGUUGAGCAGUAACUGUUAACCGUCCAGGUCACUUGUUGAGCAAUAACUGUUAACUGUCCAGGUCACUUGUUGAGCAGUAACUGUUAACCAUCCAGAGCACUUGUUAAGCAGUAACUAUUAACCGUCCAGGUCACUUGUUGAGCAGUAACUGUUAACCAUCCAGAGCACUUGUUAAGCAGUAACUAUUAAC